UUGCUUCGGGAGCACAUACACUAAUAUUGGAACAGUAUAGAGAAGAUAACAUGGUCUCUGUGUGAAGACAGACCUGCAAGUAUGUGACACGUUCCAUGUCUUU
Small nuclear RNA from Suricata suricatta (meerkat), 103 nucleotides. The record is from Ensembl. NCBI's taxonomy places the organism in Eukaryota, Metazoa, Chordata, Mammalia, Carnivora, Herpestidae.